CAGUCGCCGCGGGAAUGCGAGGGGGGCAAGCGUUGUUCGGAUUUAUUGGGCGUAAAGGGUGCGUAGGCGGUUUGGCAAGUUUGGUGUGAAAUCUUCGGGCUCAACUCGAAGUCUGCAUCAAAAACUGCCGGGCUUGGGUAUGGGAGAGGUGAGUGGAAUUUCCGGUGUAGCGGUGAAAUGCGUAGAUAUCGGGAGGAACACCUGUGGCGAAAGCGGCUCACUGGACCAUAACUGACGCUGAGGCACGAAAGCUAGGGGAGCAAACAGGAUUAGAUACCCGAGUAGUCCCUGUCUCUUAUAC
RNAcentral lists this ribosomal RNA (301 nucleotides) under uncultured bacterium. RNAcentral describes it as "partial 16S ribosomal RNA". It matches the Rfam family "Bacterial small subunit ribosomal RNA", at positions 509 to 807 of the family's 1533-position model. The record is from RNAcentral.